CUUUCCAUUAUUUGAACGGAUUCGUUUCCGUUUCCAUAGCACGUUUUUAGUAAACAAACUGUUUGCUUAUUAGAAUAACGUACGUGCUUAAUGUGAGUGCAAUAUUUUGUUUUCAAUAAUGCCUAUGUCAGAACAAUUAAGGAAAAUGGUUGCUGAAGGGAAAAUCAAAAAAAAAAGACCCAGGGCAGAAUCAUGGACUGCAGGAAAGAGAUGGGAUAGAUUAAAAACUGUAAAACAAAAAUUAGAAACCCUUCAUGGAGAAAAUGAGGUGCAAUAUGCUCUGUUUGUGGUGUAUCCAAAUCCCCGAGGAGAUCCUUCCCAUUAUCUGUUCAAGGAAGGGGAAGAUAUUGAAAAGCUAGUUUUUCAACAUUGCAGUCCUAUUAUACGGAUUAAUAUAUUAAGUCUGUAAUUUUAUGUGGAAGUUAAACCCUGAUGUAUGUGUAAUUGUAUGUGUGUCAUUCGGUGGUCGGCGGCUUGGUGGUUGGAAUCAUUAUGAGCGUUAAUAAGUGAAGAAGUGCUUCCGUCCUUCACAUUCGGUGACUGUCAGAUUCAAAUAAACAAGUGACAAGAA
Molecule: long non-coding RNA, 571 nt
Organism: Daphnia magna
Lineage: Eukaryota; Metazoa; Arthropoda; Branchiopoda; Diplostraca; Daphniidae
Exons: 2
Source: RefSeq, a predicted model, not a curated record